GGGUUGUGAGGUUAAGCGACUAAGCGUACACGGUGGAUGCCCUGGCAGUCAGAGGCGAUGAAGGACGUGCUAAUCUGCGAUAAGCGUCGGUAAGGUGAUAUGAACCGUUAUAACCGGCGAUUUCCGAAUGGGGAAACCCAGUGUGUUUCGACACACUAUCAUUAACUGAAUCCAUAGGUUAAUGAGGCGAACCGGGGGAACUGAAACAUCUAAGUACCCCGAGGAAAAGAAAUCAACCGAGAUUCCCCCAGUAGCGGCGAGCGAACGGGGAGGAGCCCAGAGCCUGAAUCAGUGUGUGUGUUAGUGGAAGCGUCUGGAAAGGCGCGCGAUACAGGGUGACAGCCCCGUACACAAAAAUGCACAUGCUGUGAGCUCGAUGAGUAGGGCGGGACACGUGGUAUCCUGUCUGAAUAUGGGGGGACCAUCCUCCAAGGCUAAAUACUCCUGACUGACCGAUAGUGAACCAGUACCGUGAGGGAAAGGCGAAAAGAACCCCGGCGAGGGGAGUGAAAAAGAACCUGAAACCGUGUACGUACAAGCAGUGGGAGCCUCUUUAUGGGGUGACUGCGUACCUUUUGUAUAAUGGGUCAGCGACUUAUAUUCUGUAGCAAGGUUAACCGAAUAGGGGAGCCGAAGGGAAACCGAGUCUUAACUGGGCGUUAAGUUGCAGGGUAUAGACCCGAAACCCGGUGAUCUAGCCAUGGGCAGGUUGAAGGUUGGGUAACACUAACUGGAGGACCGAACCGACUAAUGUUGAAAAAUUAGCGGAUGACUUGUGGCUGGGGGUGAAAGGCCAAUCAAACCGGGAGAUAGCUGGUUCUCCCCGAAAGCUAUUUAGGUAGCGCCUCGUGAAUUCAUCUCCGGGGGUAGAGCACUGUUUCGGCAAGGGGGUCAUCCCGACUUACCAACCCGAUGCAAACUGCGAAUACCGGAGAAUGUUAUCACGGGAGACACACGGCGGGUGCUAACGUCCGUCGUGAAGAGGGAAACAACCCAGACCGCCAGCUAAGGUCCCAAAGUCAUGGUUAAGUGGGAAACGAUGUGGGAAGGCCCAGACAGCCAGGAUGUUGGCUUAGAAGCAGCCAUCAUUUAAAGAAAGCGUAAUAGCUCACUGGUCGAGUCGGCCUGCGCGGAAGAUGUAACGGGGCUAAACCAUGCACCGAAGCUGCGGCAGCGACGCUUAUGCGUUGUUGGGUAGGGGAGCGUUCUGUAAGCCUGCGAAGGUGUGCUGUGAGGCAUGCUGGAGGUAUCAGAAGUGCGAAUGCUGACAUAAGUAACGAUAAAGCGGGUGAAAAGCCCGCUCGCCGGAAGACCAAGGGUUCCUGUCCAACGUUAAUCGGGGCAGGGUGAGUCGACCCCUAAGGCGAGGCCGAAAGGCGUAGUCGAUGGGAAACAGGUUAAUAUUCCUGUACUUGGUGUUACUGCGAAGGGGGGACGGAGAAGGCUAUGUUGGCCGGGCGACGGUUGUCCCGGUUUAAGCGUGUAGGCUGGUUUUCCAGGCAAAUCCGGAAAAUCAAGGCUGAGGCGUGAUGACGAGGCACUACGGUGCUGAAGCAACAAAUGCCCUGCUUCCAGGAAAAGCCUCUAAGCAUCAGGUAACAUCAAAUCGUACCCCAAACCGACACAGGUGGUCAGGUAGAGAAUACCAAGGCGCUUGAGAGAACUCGGGUGAAGGAACUAGGCAAAAUGGUGCCGUAACUUCGGGAGAAGGCACGCUGAUAUGUAGGUGAAGCGACUUGCUCGUGGAGCUGAAAUCAGUCGAAGAUACCAGCUGGCUGCAACUGUUUAUUAAAAACACAGCACUGUGCAAACACGAAAGUGGACGUAUACGGUGUGACGCCUGCCCGGUGCCGGAAGGUUAAUUGAUGGGGUUAGCGGUAACGCGAAGCUCUUGAUCGAAGCCCCGGUAAACGGCGGCCGUAACUAUAACGGUCCUAAGGUAGCGAAAUUCCUUGUCGGGUAAGUUCCGACCUGCACGAAUGGCGUAAUGAUGGCCAGGCUGUCUCCACCCGAGACUCAGUGAAAUUGAACUCGCUGUGAAGAUGCAGUGUACCCGCGGCAAGACGGAAAGACCCCGUGAACCUUUACUAUAGCUUGACACUGAACAUUGAGCCUUGAUGUGUAGGAUAGGUGGGAGGCUUUGAAGUGUGGACGCCAGUCUGCAUGGAGCCGACCUUGAAAUACCACCCUUUAAUGUUUGAUGUUCUAACGUUGGCCCCUGAUCGGGGUUGCGGACAGUGUCUGGUGGGUAGUUUGACUGGGGCGGUCUCCUCCUAAAGAGUAACGGAGGAGCACGAAGGUUGGCUAAUCCUGGUCGGACAUCAGGAGGUUAGUGCAAUGGCAUAAGCCAGCUUGACUGCGAGCGUGACGGCGCGAGCAGGUGCGAAAGCAGGUCAUAGUGAUCCGGUGGUUCUGAAUGGAAGGGCCAUCGCUCAACGGAUAAAAGGUACUCCGGGGAUAACAGGCUGAUACCGCCCAAGAGUUCAUAUCGACGGCGGUGUUUGGCACCUCGAUGUCGGCUCAUCACAUCCUGGGGCUGAAGUAGGUCCCAAGGGUAUGGCUGUUCGCCAUUUAAAGUGGUACGCGAGCUGGGUUUAGAACGUCGUGAGACAGUUCGGUCCCUAUCUGCCGUGGGCGCUGGAGAACUGAGGGGGGCUGCUCCUAGUACGAGAGGACCGGAGUGGACGCAUCACUGGUGUUCGGGUUGUCAUGCCAAUGGCACUGCCCGGUAGCUAAAUGCGGAAGAGAUAAGUGCUGAAAGCAUCUAAGCACGAAACUUGCCCCGAGAUGAGUUCUCCCUGAGACUUUAAGUCUCCUGAAGGAACGUUGAAGACGACGACGUUGAUAGGCCGGGUGUGUAAGCGCAGCGAUGCGUUGAGCUAACCGGUACUAAUGAACCGUGAGGCUUAACCUUACAACGCCGAAGGUGUUU
This 2932-nucleotide ribosomal RNA is filed under the name Escherichia coli. RNAcentral's name for it is "23S ribosomal RNA". It matches the Rfam family "Bacterial large subunit ribosomal RNA". Lineage: Bacteria; Pseudomonadati; Pseudomonadota; Gammaproteobacteria; Enterobacterales; Enterobacteriaceae. The record is from RNAcentral.